Molecule: non-coding RNA, 73 nt
Organism: Neotoma lepida (desert woodrat)
Lineage: Eukaryota; Metazoa; Chordata; Mammalia; Rodentia; Cricetidae
Source: Rfam
GAGGAGAUGGCUCAGUGGUUAAGAGCACUGGCUGCUCUUCCAGAGGUCCUGAGUUCAAUUCCCAGCAACCACA